UAGGGAAUCUUCGGCAAUGGGGGCAACCCUGACCGAGCAACGCCGCGUGAGUGAAGAAGGUUUUCGGAUCGUAAAGCUCUGUUGUAAGUCAAGAACGAGUGUGAGAGUGGAAAGUUCACACUGUGACGGUAGCUUACCAGAAAGGGACGGCUAACUACGUGCCAGCAGCCGCGGUAAUACGUAGGUCCCGAGCGUUGUCCGGAUUUAUUGGGCGUAAAGCGAGCGCAGGCGGUUUGAUAAGUCUGAAGUUAAAGGCUGUGGCUCAACCAUAGUUCGCUUUGGAAACUGUCAAACUUGAGUGCAGAAGGGGAGAGUGGAAUUCCAUGUGUAGCGGUGAGAUGCGUAGAUAUAUGGAGGAACACCGGUGGCGAAAGCGGCUCUCUGGUCUGUAACUGACGCUGAGGCUCGAAAGCGUGGGGAGCGAACAGGAUUAGAUACCCUGGUAGUCCACGCCGUAAACGAUGAGUGCUAGGUGUUGGAUCCUUUCCGGGAUUCAGUGCCGCAGCUAACGCAUUAAGCACUCCGCCUGGGGAGUACGACCGCAAGGUUG
This 550-nucleotide ribosomal RNA is filed under the name uncultured bacterium. RNAcentral describes it as "bacterial SSU rRNA". It matches the Rfam family "Bacterial small subunit ribosomal RNA", at positions 355 to 896 of the family's 1533-position model. The record is from RNAcentral.